RNAcentral lists this ribosomal RNA (505 nucleotides) under uncultured bacterium. RNAcentral describes it as "partial 16S ribosomal RNA". It matches the Rfam family "Bacterial small subunit ribosomal RNA", at positions 28 to 507 of the family's 1533-position model. The record is from RNAcentral.
GACGAACGCUGGCGGCGUGCCUAAUACAUGCAAGUAGAACGCACAGUUUAUACCGUAGCUUGCUACACCAUAGACUGUGAGUUGCGAACGGGUGAGUAACGCGUAGGUAACCUGCCUGGUAGCGGGGGAUAACUAUUGGAAACGAUAGCUAAUACCGCAUAAUAUUAAUUAUUGCAUGAUAAUUAAUUGAAAGGUGCAAUUGCACCACUACCAGAUGGACCUGCGUUGUAUUAGCUAGUAGGUGAGGUAACGGCUCACCUAGGCGAGGAUACAUAGCCGACCUAAGAGGGUGAUCGGCCGCACUGGGGCUGAGAAACGGCCCAGACUGCUGCGGGAGGCAGCAGUAGGGAAUCUUCGGCAAUGGACGAAAGGCUGACCGAGCAACGCCGCGUGAGUGAAGAAGGUUUUCGGAUCGUAAAGCUCGGUUGUAAGAGAAGAACGGGUGUGAGAGUGGAAAGUACACACUGUGACGGUAUCUGACCAGAAAGGGACGGCUAACUACGUG